AAAGAAAAAAGAAAGUUAUGCUAGAAACUGGGUGAUGGGAAGAUAUAUAUCUAUGCUUCCCAGAUUAUUUCAGUUUGGGUGGAUGAGCACUGAGAGAGAGGAGACAGUGGGGCUGUGGGGUCUGGGGCAGGGACACAUCACGGAAAACUGAGAUUCCACAUUGAGGAUUCUCCCCCCACAUUUUAUUUGAAAAUAUUCACAUUUACAGAAGAGUCGGCAGACCUGUGCGGUGAACACCCACAUGCCCCACCGCCAAGAUUCUACCACCCCAUUCUGCCCCACUAGCGUUAGCCCGUCUCUGCGCCCCUCUGUCCCUCGGUCCAUGUUCUCUUAAUGUGUUUCAAAGGACAUCGCCAACAUCAGUGCACUUAACCCGCCAAUGCUUCAGCGUUCAUGGCAUUAACGGAGCUUUUUUGUUUGUUUCAGGGAACAUUUACAUAUGGUGAAAUGCAUGGACAUUAAGGGUACCAUUGAAAGAGUUCUGUUUUACAUUAUAUUUCCCUUUAUUUCAGGGACUAAACAGUGUUGAUUUUUUUUAUUUUUUAGUUAACAGAGUUUGUUUUUUAAAGCAGUUGUAGGCUUACAGAAAAAUCGAGCAGAAAGUACAAGGAGUUCCCGUGCACUUACUUCUCCACUUGGGCUCCCCGCCACGAACAUCUCACGUUGGUCGGGCACAUCUGCCACCGAUGGACCAAGAUUCACACGAUACCCAAAGUCCACAGCCCACAUCAGGGCUCACGCUUUGUGCUGUACAUCGUAUUGUGUGUUCUGUGAGGUUUGACACGCGCAGUGCCCUGCUGGAUAUGCAGGUCAGCUCCACAGGGGCAGGAGGCAACGGUUGGAGGGUGUGAAGAGCAGCAGGCGAGAGUCACUGGGCACCACCUGGGAGGCCACGCCAGCAGGAGGAGAAAGCUGACAAAGCCACAGUAAGCAGAUCGUGGGCCCAUGUAAUCCGGUGGAUUCACAGUCAGGUUUGGGAGGAGAGGUCACUCAUCUCCACCUGACUCACCGCCGUGCCCGUCCACCUGCGACCGCACGCCUUGGACAACGCCCAGAAGAAAGGUGAUCUGAUCUGGGGGUGGGAGGUGGGGUCAGAGCACCCCCCAGCAGCCGCACACUUCCAGCCACUGCCUGUCACCUGUGCAGAGGGGACGUCCAGACCUGCAGAAACAGGAGGAAGGCAGAGCCGGCCCCGCCCUGCUCAGCUCUGCAGGAGACGCAGACGCUGAGCGAGGGAUGCGCUGCAGACACUGCGGCCGGCUUGGCUUAGGGCCUGCUGAGAAGAUCCCGGGGGAGCCUGCCUGGCCGGCUGGGAUGUCUGUUGCUUGCAGCCCCUAUGGUUCCCCCGUCUGCACAGAACCUCAGUGGGCACAGACGUGUUGGCACAGAGCACCUCACACCAGCCAGGACAGGGAGCACCGUCCCAUUUUACAGAUGGAGAAACCGAGAGGGGAAACUGGCAGCGAGGCCUCGGCUCAGGUCCCAUUUCUGGGCCCCCAUCCCCUGGGCCCAUGGCCCACCCUGCCGCUGUAGGAAAUGGGACAAAAGCUUUUACCCUGCCCCAGCUCUGCAGCCUGGCUCCGCCCAGAGGCUGUUAACGGCCGGCCGCUGGCGACUUCCAGCUAUCGAUGCACUCUAGAAGCUGCUGACACGCAGGCUCUGUCCAGCCCAGACGUAAAUCUCCUUUCUCCUUUCCCUCUGGCUGCACAUCGACCCCAUCUGGUCCCCAGGGGCUGCCGAGUGCCACCUGCUGCUCUGUCCUCCUUAGCUCUAAUUGGGCAAAUUAGUGCACGUCUCCUGCGGCUGCCGGCACAGAUCAGCAAAACAGGACAACAGCAGUUCCUAGAACGGACAGAAACUUCCUCUCCGGUUUGGGAGGCCAGAAGUCUGGAGUCAGGGUCCUUCUCCCCGGUGUCUGCGGCCCCACACGCUCCCAACGCUCCCGCCCGGCAGACGCUCCGGCCACCGGCCGGCCGCCAGGAGCUUCCAGACCACCAAAGACUGCCUGGAGCCACAGUAAAAAGCCAAAAGGAAGCAGGGAUGUCUCGUACCUUGCGCUGCUGGUGCUGCCGUGGCCAUGGACACCCCCCCCCCAGUCCUGCAAAACUGGAGCUGUCCGCACGGAACACUCCCAUUUGCCCUCCCCCCGGCCUGGCACCGCCGUGCCCGUCUGUCUGAGUUUGCCUGUCCAGGGGCCUCCCAGGGCUGGACCUCACGGCCCUGUACUUGUCCUUUUGAGACUGGCUUAUGCCACCCAGCACAAUGUUCUCAAGGUUCCUCCAUGUCGCAGCCUGCGUCAGGAUUCCCUUCCUUUUUAAUAUGUUGUGCUGAACCCAACAUGCCAAAAUAGUGUCAUCGGUAUAGGAAAUCAGACGCGAGCUGGCUCACAUUGCACUUCCCCCAUGAGGUCUUCAGAGCUUCAAUGGAGUUGACUUCCCGGCUUAGACAUCGCCAAGGCCCUCAGCGCACAUGGCCGUGGCCGCAGCGUGGACCACAGCGUCCGGCUCACCAGUAUGAACUAAAAUAACGUCUUAUGGCUCCCCCACUGGCUGACUCAAUGGACCACCCCCUUCUGGCCAAGGGGAUAUCCUAAAACUAAAUUGCCUGCUGCAAGGAGGGAAGUCAGACAUGCCUUAUCAUGUCCCCUCCCUUCCUGGGGACAUCCUCUGUAACCCGUUAGCAGGCCUAAGGGUAUGCACGGCACACCUGCAGGUCCUCAGUUUACACAGUAAGUGCAUGUCCAGUGGCUCAUCCCUCUGACUAACAGACUUCCUUAUCUUAACAUCCCAAGCCUUUAGACAAAACUUCAUGUCUUUAACCAAUUUUACAAG
Microcebus murinus (gray mouse lemur) is the source of this 2831-nucleotide non-coding RNA. NCBI's taxonomy places the organism in Eukaryota, Metazoa, Chordata, Mammalia, Primates, Cheirogaleidae. The record is from RefSeq and is a predicted model, not a curated record.